This is a small nuclear RNA of Erinaceus europaeus (western European hedgehog), 61 nucleotides long. Its record names the gene U7. It matches the Rfam family "U7 small nuclear RNA". Rfam says of the family: Animal histone pre-mRNAs are spliced by a different mechanism than nuclear pre-mRNAs and self-splicing introns. This processing involves the U7 snRNP, which contains only one RNA species: U7. The 5' end of U7 RNA is thought to base-pair to a conserved spacer element downstream of the cleavage site in histone pre-mRNA. The record is from Ensembl. Lineage: Eukaryota; Metazoa; Chordata; Mammalia; Eulipotyphla; Erinaceidae.
UAGUGUUACAGCUCUAUUAGAAUUUGUCUAGCUCGUCUUCCAGUCUCACGGGAAGCCCCCC